Molecule: microRNA precursor, 205 nt
Organism: Oryza sativa Japonica Group (Japanese rice)
Lineage: Eukaryota; Viridiplantae; Streptophyta; Magnoliopsida; Poales; Poaceae
Rfam family: MIR812 microRNA precursor family
Source: Rfam
AAAAAGACAAACCCUGGUUUCCGUGCCCAACGUUUGACCGUUCGUCUUAUUUGAAAAAAUUAUGAAAAAAAUUAAAAAGACAAGUCACGCACAAAGUAUUAAUCAUGUUUUAUCAUCUAACAACAAUAAAAAUAUGAAUUAUAAAAAAAUUUCAUAUAAGACGGACAGUUAAAGUUAGACACGGAAACCCAGGGUUUGCCUUUUU